ACGAACGCUGGCGGCGUGCUUAACACAUGCAAGUCGAACGGAAAGGCCCUGCUUUUGUGGGGUGCUCGAGUGGCGAACGGGUGAGUAACACGUGAGUAACCUGCCCUUGACUUUGGGAUAACUUCAGGAAACUGGGGCUAAUACCGGAUAGGAGCUCCUGCUGCAUGGUGGGGGUUGGAAAGUUUCGGCGGUUGGGGAUGGACUCGCGGCUUAUCAGCUUGUUGGUGGGGUAGUGGCUUACCAAGGCUUUGACGGGUAGCCGGCCUGAGAGGGUGACCGGCCACAUUGGGACUGAGAUACGGCCCAGACUCCUACGGGAGGCAGCAGUGGGGAAUAUUGCACAAUGGGCGGAAGCCUGAUGCAGCAACGCCGCGUGCGGGAUGACGGCCUUCGGGUUGUAAACCGCUUUCGCCUGUGACGAAGCGUGAGUGACGGUAAUUGGUAAAGAAGCACCGGCUAACUACGUG
RNAcentral lists this ribosomal RNA (467 nucleotides) under uncultured bacterium. Its description in RNAcentral is "partial 16S ribosomal RNA". It matches the Rfam family "Bacterial small subunit ribosomal RNA", at positions 29 to 507 of the family's 1533-position model. The record is from RNAcentral.